GAUGACUUUAACAUUGACGAGGAUGAGAUGACCCAGAUGACUGCCAUAAAAACACAAAAGCCAGGAAGAUUAUGGUCGUUUGAAAAUUCCUAAAUUCCUUUGGAAAAGCGCAUCGCCAUUGCGCUAUACACUUUGGGCUCGUCCUCUGAGUACCGAACAGUUGGCAGGCUUUUCGGUGUAGCUCCAAACAUUGUGUGUAGUAUCCUGCACGAGUUUUGCAGAGCACUUAUCGACGAGUUUUCGAAGGAGUACACGUCGCCCAAUUACCUAACUUCCGACAAAAUUGAUGAGUGCGUAAAGGGAUUCGAGGCAAUUGGGUUUCCUCAGUGCCUAGGUGCAAUUGAUGGAUGCCACAUCGAAAUAAAACCACCAGCACCUGAGGCAGUAGACCACCAUAACUAUAAGGGCUGGUAUUCCACAGUCUUGUUUGCCCUAGUGGAUUAUAGAUACAGAUUUACAUAUGUAAAUAUCGGCUCUGCAGGAAGGUGCAAUGACUCGAUGAUAUACCAGAAGUCAAGCCGUGCAAAACAUAUCGAAGCAUCGGCAUUACUCCAAGAGAAAGCCAAGGAAAUAAGCGGAGUAAACGUCCCUGUAAUGCUUAUCGGGGACUCGGCAUUUAGGUUUUCUAAAAAGCUGAUGAAACCUUACCCGUUUUCCACAGUCGCCUCUUUGGAACAGCGCACGUUUAACUACAACCUUUCCAAAGCUAGGCGAGUGGUGGAAAAUGCAUUUGGGCAUUUAAAAGCCAGAUUUCGAAUAAUCGGAAAAGGUCUUGAUAGCCACCACAAAAAUAAUAGCGCCAUAAUAAUGAGCUGUUGUAUUUUACACAAUAUAUUAAAUAAGCACAACAGCGCGAUUAAUGAAAAUUGGGAGCUUGCAACAAAUGAGCAGCGCGAACAGCCCGAUACCAGCAACAGUUCUGCUGACUUUAAUCAGUCAGCAGAACAGAUACGAUCUGCAAUCGCAAAAUAUUGUGUAGACCGUAAUGAAAAUUAAAAACUUAUUUAUUUUUAUUUUUUAAAACUUCUAAUAAGUCGUUCUGGAAUUUUGUUUGGGUGCUGAUCAAGUCCUGCACCAUCUUUUCCUGCCUAACGUCGUGCUCCUCCUUCUUUCUGUGGUGGUCCUUUUGUUGUUCGAGACGCUCCUGGGCGAUCUCUGCCAGCCACGAAAUGUCGGUCUUUUUCUUUUUCUUUGGCGGACGCCCAGACAAGGUGCUGGAGCUACAAGAU
Long non-coding RNA from Drosophila miranda, 1229 nucleotides. RefSeq lists it as uncharacterized. The record is from RefSeq and is a predicted model, not a curated record. Lineage: Eukaryota; Metazoa; Arthropoda; Insecta; Diptera; Drosophilidae. The transcript is spliced from 4 exons.